Molecule: ribosomal RNA, 606 nt
Filed under: Triticum aestivum (bread wheat)
Lineage: Eukaryota; Viridiplantae; Streptophyta; Magnoliopsida; Poales; Poaceae
Description: partial small subunit ribosomal RNA
Source: RNAcentral
AUGGCUGCAGGAGCCUACCAUAGCUCGUCAGCUAGUUCGCCGAUCAUGGACUUUUUCUACGCCCUCCUUCUCACCAUAGUCAUCUUAGGCACCGCCCUGGCCCUCUUCUUGCCGGCUGCCAACUAUGACCCGAAGCCCCGGCUGUUCAUCCGGCUGGUCGAGGUCCAGGGGCUGGACCCGUGCAUCCCGGAGACCGAGGUGCGUUCCCCGACCUUCGAGCUGGCCGUGGACGUCGGCCGGGUGUCGGAAAGCAGGCGGGGGCCCUGCGCCGGAGGUGGCGACGCGAUGCUGCGGGUCUCGUACCGCGGGAAGAUCCUGGCGUGGGGCGGCGUUCCGCGGUUCUGCGUCGACGGCAGGUGCCUGCAGGGGCCGAGCGCCAGCGUGGCGACCGUGGUGGCCACGGCGGAGGGGCUUGUGUUGCAGCAGGAGCUGCGGAACAAGAUAUGCGCCGAAACCUAUGCUAUCGGGAGGGCCGAGUUCGACGUGGAAGGGAGCGUUCCUGGACUGAGCCACCUCCGCUGCAAGACGUACCUGUUCCAAGGCGACCAGACGGAUGCGCUGCCUCCGUGCUCCUUUCACAAAGACCCCGAGGAGGGCACGUGGUGA